Molecule: long non-coding RNA, 714 nt
Filed under: Parus major (Great Tit)
Lineage: Eukaryota; Metazoa; Chordata; Aves; Passeriformes; Paridae
Description: lncRNA (ENSPMJG00000006539.1)
Source: RNAcentral
CCCCUGCCCAUCUCAGGAGGGGAGUGUCAGAGCAGCUUUGGUGGACAUUGGCAUCCAGAGGGUCAAGCACCACAUUCCCACUUAUUCCUAAAUUAACAAACAUUAUUUUUGACACAUCCUUUAGGAAAUCUCCACGUUAUAACUCCCUCCCAUGUGGAUAAAAACAGAUCUGUGAUGGUGGAAAUUCACACUGGAUGCACUGGGACCUCUGAGUUGCUCAACCCAACAUUCCUGACAGGUGAAUCCUUGCACAGCUGUUUUGGUGAAACACAAGCCACCAGGAGAAGAAGUUUUUCUUGCUGAGCCCCAAAUCACCCCACAGGGACCACACCACACCACGUAAGAUCCACCAUCCCAUUCCCAAGGCUGACUGCGGGGCCGUGGUGUCUCCUGCCUGGAAGAAAUUCCCACAUUUCACCUGGAUGCUCCUUCUCCUCAAGAAGCAACAUUUCUUUUCUUAUUUGGAAUUGGAGCCAUUCCUUGCCUGGGGGCUCCUUUAUUUCAUUGGGAGAAACAUUUUGAGUGACUUCUCAGUGGGUUUUGGAUGACUGAUGUCAAUUUUUUGAUGGACACCUUCCCCUGCUGAUGGAGUUUUCCCCCUUUUUUUAUCCUUCAUAUGAAGUGGUUUGACAACUCUGUUCACCUCUUCCUUUGUGAUUUGCUGAAAUUUAUGACAGGAGGAAUUGGAACAAAUUAGAACAAAUAAAAAAGUUA